UACGGAAGUGGAUAGCGUUGUUCGGAAUUACUUGGCGUAAAGAGCGCGUAGGCGGCUUACCAAGUUGGGGGUGAAAUCCCGGAGCUCAACUCCGGAACUGCCUUCAAAACUGGUAGGCUCGAGUCCGGAAGAGGGGCGUGGAAUUCCACGUGUAGAGGUGAAAUUCGUAGAUAUUGGGAAGAACACCGGUGGCGAAGGCGGCGCCCUGGUCCGGUACUGACGCUGAGGCGAGAAAGCGUGGGGAGCAAACAGG
This 253-nucleotide ribosomal RNA is filed under the name uncultured bacterium. Its description in RNAcentral is "partial 16S ribosomal RNA". It matches the Rfam family "Bacterial small subunit ribosomal RNA", at positions 524 to 776 of the family's 1533-position model. The record is from RNAcentral.